Molecule: non-coding RNA, 494 nt
Organism: Zonotrichia albicollis (white-throated sparrow)
Lineage: Eukaryota; Metazoa; Chordata; Aves; Passeriformes; Passerellidae
Source: RefSeq, a predicted model, not a curated record
AAGAAAAAGGGAGGAAUGAACCUUGCAAUGAGAACACUGGCAUUUGUACCUUAGGAUGUGUUUAACACCUUUGUUCUUCUCUCCACUGCAAAGUAUUAACUGCUAAUUUUAUAAGGUUACUCUAGUGCAGAGGCCAAGUGAGAGAACAUCAGGUUGACCAUUAUGUCUGCAUCAUUGUCACAAUUAAUUUUAGCCCAGCACAGGCACUUCACAGAACUGAAAACCAGAAAUUCAACAAUAAAACUGAAGGCGACUGCUAAAAGGUGCAGGUUAUGGACUCUUUCUACGUCGAGCAUGCUGCAACAGUCCUCAUUCACAGCAUGAAAGAAUAAAAGCCAGAGAAGACAGAAAAUGAAGCCCAUGAAAAAGUCUUAUUCAUUCUACAUUGUGGAGAAUUUGAAUAGUGUAUUUUUAAAGGCUCAAAAAAGCAAGAUGAAACAAGGCAAAUGAGAAAGACUUCUGUUGCUGACUUGUAAGAAGGCAGGUCUUGAAAG